Molecule: ribosomal RNA, 758 nt
Filed under: uncultured bacterium
Lineage: Bacteria
Description: bacterial SSU rRNA
Rfam family: Bacterial small subunit ribosomal RNA
Source: RNAcentral
UUAGAGUUUGAUCCUGGCUCAGAUUGAACGCUGGCGGAAUGCUUUACACAUGCAAGUCGAGCGGCAGCGCGGUCUUCGGACUGGCGGCGAGCGGCGAACGGGUGAGUAAUACAUCGGAACAUGCCCAGUCGUGGGGGAUAACACUUCGAAAGAAGUGCUAAUACCGCAUACGUCCUGAGGGAGAAAGCGGGGGAUCGCAAGACCUCGCGCGAUUGGAGUGGCCGAUGUCAGAUUAGCUAGUUGGUGGGGUAAAGGCCUACCAAGGCAACGAUCUGUAGCUGGUCUGAGAGGAUGAUCAGCCACACUGGGACUGAGACACGGCCCAGACUCCUACGGGAGGCAGCAGUGGGGAAUUUUGGACAAUGGGGGCAACCCUGAUCCAGCCAUUCCGCGUGAGUGAAGAAGGCCUUCGGGUUGUAAAGCUCUUUCGGCWKGAACGAAACGGCGAGCUCUAACAUAGCUCGCUAAUGACGGUACCUGAAGAAGAAGCACCGGCUAACUACGUGCCAGCAGCCGCGGUAAUACGUAGGGUGCGAGCGUUAAUCGGAAUUACUGGGCGUAAAGCGUGCGCAGGCGGUUGUGUAAGACAGGUGUGAAAUCCCCGGGCUUAACCUGGGAACUGCGCUUGUGACUGCACGGCUAGAGUAUGGCAGAGGGGGGUGGAAUUCCAGCGUGUAGCAGUGAAAUGCGUAGAGAUGUGGAGGAACACCGAUGGCGAAGGCAGCCCCCUGGGCCAAUACUACUCUCAUCACAAAGCG